RNAcentral lists this ribosomal RNA (403 nucleotides) under Verrucomicrobiota bacterium. Its description in RNAcentral is "Verrucomicrobia bacterium partial 16S ribosomal RNA". It matches the Rfam family "Bacterial small subunit ribosomal RNA", at positions 355 to 776 of the family's 1533-position model. RNAcentral also lists the same sequence under 1 other name. Lineage: Bacteria; Pseudomonadati; Verrucomicrobiota. The record is from RNAcentral.
UGGGGAAUCUUGCACAAUGGAGGGAACUCUGAUGCAGCGACGCCGCGUGAACGAAGAAGGCUUUCGAGUCGUAAAGUUCUUUUAUAUGGGAAGAUAAUGACGGUACCAUAAGAAAAAGCCCCGGCUAACUACGUGCCAGCAGCCGCGGUAAUACGUAGGGGGCUAGCGUUGUCCGGAAUCACUGGGCGUAAAGGGUUCGCAGGCGGAAAUGCAAGUCAGGUGUAAAAGGCAGUAGCUUAACUACUGUAAGCAUUUGAAACUGCAUAUCUUGAGAAGAGUAGAGGUAAGUGGAAUUUUUAGUGUAGCGGUGAAAUGCGUAGAUAUUAAAAAGAAUACCGGUGGCGAAGGCGACUUACUGGGCUCAUUCUGACGCUGAGGAACGAAAGCGUGGGUAGCAAACAGG